UUUUUUUAAGCAGUUUAUUUUAAUGGAAUAUAUAAAGUUAUAAUGAUAGAAUUAGUAGUAUUGAAUAUUUAAGUAUAGGAAUUCGGCAACUUUAAUCCUCGCCUGUUUAAGAAAAAUAUGUCUUAUAGAUUUUAAUUUUAAGUCUAAUCUGCCCGGUGAUUUAUUAAAUGGCCGCAUAUUUUGACUGUGCGAAGGUCGCGUAAUCAUUUGUCUCUUAAUUGGAGGCUUGUAUGAAUGAUUGGACGAGGAAUUGACUUUCUUUAUUUAAAUUUUAUGAAUUUGAUUUUUGAGUUAAAAAGCUUAAAUUUUUUUGCAAGACGAGAAGACCCUGUAGAGUUUUAUUUUUUGUUGUAUUUUUGUUAAUUGGUUGAUUAAUGAUAGGAGUAUAUUGAAGAAUUUUGUUGGGGCGACAGUGAAAUUUUAUUAACUUUCAUUUUUUAUUUUCAUUAAUUUAUGUAUUUUUUGAUCCUUUAUUAUGGAUUAUAAGAUUAAAUUACCUCAGGGAUAACAGCGUAAUUUUUUUGGAGAGUUCUUAUCGAUAAAAUAAGUUUG
RNAcentral lists this ribosomal RNA (552 nucleotides) under Enoplops scapha. RNAcentral's name for it is "partial large subunit ribosomal RNA". Lineage: Eukaryota; Metazoa; Arthropoda; Insecta; Hemiptera; Coreidae. The record is from RNAcentral.